Long non-coding RNA from Wyeomyia smithii (pitcher-plant mosquito), 604 nucleotides. RefSeq lists it as uncharacterized. NCBI's taxonomy places the organism in Eukaryota, Metazoa, Arthropoda, Insecta, Diptera, Culicidae. The record is from RefSeq and is a predicted model, not a curated record. The transcript has 2 exons.
UGGCCACAAGUCAAAUAAAUGUGUGCCGCAGAAGUGAGGGAACAAAACGCGAAGAAUAAGUGCAUAAAAACAUCGGACACGUCCGCUUGUUCGAAUAACUUUUGUUUUUGUUACAUUGAUUUUGUAACAUAUUGAUCAAGCACUCAAAUAGAGUUGGUUCCUAUAUAGCUGGAAAUAUACCGUUAAUCGUGAUGCUGUCGGGGGAAAAACAAAAAAAUGUGUCUAUGUUUGGUGCUAGGGAACGACCCUUACAGUCAUAAUAUCAGAAGGAAUUCGUUCAUUAUACGAUGGAAUCUUGGACUUAAAUACGUGGGCACCUGUACUUCCCUAACACCAAAUACAGCGCUGAUGAGCAUUCAUCCACAAUUGGGCUCUACCUAGUGCUGGGGUUUGUCUCCAUGAUUGUUGUCGAUCAGAUGUCAUCGCGGCGCAAGGAAGGAUGAUGCGUAAAUUAACAGACACAAUCUGGUAAACUACAGUUCCCGCACAACUGUUAACAGAAUUGUAGCUUUUUUACGCGAAGCAAUUCGGAAGAUAUGGAAAUAAUAUAAAAUAUUAAUAAUUAGGUAACUUGAUGGGAAAUAAAUCUAUAACAUUUAAACAA